RNAcentral lists this transfer RNA (74 nucleotides) under Candidatus Ancaeobacter aquaticus. RNAcentral describes it as "tRNA-Gln". It matches the Rfam family "tRNA". From Rfam's summary of the family: Transfer RNA (tRNA) molecules are approximately 80 nucleotides in length. Their secondary structure includes four short double-helical elements and three loops (D, anti-codon, and T loops). Lineage: Bacteria; Pseudomonadati; Candidatus Auribacterota; Candidatus Ancaeobacteria; Candidatus Ancaeobacterales; Candidatus Ancaeobacteraceae. The record is from RNAcentral.
UGCCUAGUGGUGCAGUGGUAGCACGCCUGUCUCUGGAUCAGGUAACCGAGGUUCGAAUCCUUGCUAGGCAGCCA